CUACGGGGGGCUGCAGUGGGGAAUAUUGCACAAUGGACGAAAGUCUGAUGCAGCAACGCCGCGUGGAGGAUGACACAUUUCGGUGCGUAAACUCCUUUUAUAUAGGAAGAUAAUGACGGUACUAUAUGAAUAAGCACCGGCUAACUCCGUGCCAGCAGCCGCGGUAAUACGGAGGGUGCAAGCGUUACUCGGAAUCACUGGGCGUAAAGAGCGUGUAGGCGGGUAGUUAAGUCAGAAGUGAAAUCCAAUAGCUCAACUAUUGAACUGCUUUUGAAACUGAUUACCUAGAAUAUGGGAGAGGUAGAUGGAAUUUCUGGUGUAGGGGUAAAAUCCGUAGAGAUCAGAAGGAAUACCGAUUGCGAAGGCGAUCUACUGGAACAUUAUUGACGCUGAGACGCGAAAGCGUGGGGAGCAAACAGGAUUAGAUACCCCUGUAGUC
RNAcentral lists this ribosomal RNA (439 nucleotides) under uncultured bacterium. RNAcentral describes it as "partial 16S ribosomal RNA". It matches the Rfam family "Bacterial small subunit ribosomal RNA", at positions 339 to 795 of the family's 1533-position model. The record is from RNAcentral.